Molecule: ribosomal RNA, 253 nt
Filed under: uncultured bacterium
Lineage: Bacteria
Description: partial 16S ribosomal RNA
Rfam family: Bacterial small subunit ribosomal RNA
Source: RNAcentral
UACGUAGGGGGCAAGCGUUGUCCGGAAUUACUGGGCGUAAAGCGCCUGUAGGCGGGAAAGCACGUCGGACGUGAAAGGCUGGGGCUCAACCCCAGAGCGGCGUUCGAAACGGCUUUUCUUGAGGGUCGAAGAGGAGCGUGGAAUUCCCGGUGUAGCGGUGAAAUGCGUAGAGAUCGGGAGGAACACCCGUGGCGAAGGCGGCGCUCUGGUCGGCCCCUGACGCUGAGAGGCGAAAGCGUGGGGAGCGAACGGG